GAGAGAGAGAGAGAGAGAGUACAUGCUUGGGAUGGGGGUUAACUUCAAAUUAAAAGUAGGGAAAACUGAAGGACAGUGCAUGCUUUGUGCUUCCUGGAUCUAAAAUAACAAAAUAUCAAGGCAUCAACAAAGUAGUAAACCUUAUAGCAAAACUAAGAUUAGUCUUGGCAUGAUGAAAUAUGUAUUUGGAGGAUUAUUUUAAUAUUGUUCCUUUUUCUAUGUGCCCUGCCUUUUCUCUCUGUCUUGUGUGUUUGGUUAAGAUUAGAGAAUCCAUGUGUGAUCUCAAUAAACAACAGGUGGUUGAAUUUUUUUUCUUUUGUUUGUUUAUUUAUGUUGACAAUGCUGACAAAUGAAAAUAAGAACAUGAAAAACAGAAUGUGUACCAAUGAGCGGUGAAAAAUGGAACCUUAGUUUUUCUAGUAUUAUUAUAACAUAUUAGAUUGAAUAUGGUGUACUAGUGCAAAGGUCCUAUCAAGGAGACAUGCUAUAGAAAAUGACUCAAAACUCUUGUGCAUCUAUUCAUGUUUUACGUUUAGAAUAUAGAAUAGUUGGUCUCUCUUCCUAGACCCUUUGAAUACCAAAUCACCAAGGUUAGGGGUUAGCAAAAAUCAGCUAGCCAAAAUCAGUUAUAACCAAAAAACUGAAUAGAACCAUUUUACUUUGUUUCUUUAGGUUCCGUUCAGUUCGGUUCGCUUUUUUAAGAAAGUUUGGUCUUUGAUUCAUUUCGGCUAUGUUCGUCAAAAAAAAAAAAUAGGCCGAAUCUACCGAUUUUCCAAUUUAUGACUUUUUUUCUAAAAACAAUUAUGGGCAUUCAUGUCAUAUAAUGUGUAAUUUAUGGAAUUUAU
RNAcentral lists this unclassified non-coding RNA (845 nucleotides) under Hevea brasiliensis (rubber tree). Lineage: Eukaryota; Viridiplantae; Streptophyta; Magnoliopsida; Malpighiales; Euphorbiaceae. The record is from RNAcentral.